GAUGAACGCUGGCGGUAUGCUUAACACAUGCAAGUCGAACGGACUCUUCGGAGUUAGUGGCGGACGGGUGAGUAACGCGUGAGAAUCUGGCUUUGGGUUCGGGACAACCACUGGAAACGGUGGCUAAUGCCGGAUGUGCCGAGAGGUAAAAGAGAAAUUGCCUGAAGAUGAGCUCGCGUCUGAUUAGCUAGUUGGUGAGGUAAAGGCUCACCAAGGCAGCGAUCAGUUGCUGGUCUGAGAGGAGGACCAGCCACAACGGGACUGAGACACGGCCCAGACGACUACGGGAGGCAGCAGUGGGGAAGUAUCCGAGAUGGGCGAAAGACUGACGGAGCAGUACCGCGUGGGGGAAGAAGGCUCUUGGGGUGUAAAACUCUUUUCUUAGGGAAGAACAAAAUGACGGUACCUAAGGAAGAAGCAUCGGCUAACUCCGUG
RNAcentral lists this ribosomal RNA (435 nucleotides) under uncultured bacterium. Its description in RNAcentral is "partial 16S ribosomal RNA". It matches the Rfam family "Bacterial small subunit ribosomal RNA", at positions 28 to 507 of the family's 1533-position model. The record is from RNAcentral.